This 770-nucleotide ribosomal RNA is filed under the name uncultured bacterium. RNAcentral's name for it is "bacterial SSU rRNA". It matches the Rfam family "Bacterial small subunit ribosomal RNA", at positions 57 to 829 of the family's 1533-position model. The record is from RNAcentral.
GCAGUCGACGGCAGCACGGGUGCUUGCACCUGGUGGCGAGUGGCGAACGGGUGAGUAAUACAUCGGAACGUACCUUGUAGUGGGGGAUAGCUCGGCGAAAGCCGGAUUAAUACCGCAUACGCUCUGAGGAGGAAAGCGGGGGACCUUCGGGCCUCGCGCUAUAAGAGCGGCCGAUGUCAGAUUAGCUAGUUGGUGGGGUAAAGGCCUACCAAGGCGACGAUCUGUAGCUGGUCUGAGAGGACGACCAGCCACACUGGGACUGAGACACGGCCCAGACUCCUACGGGAGGCAGCAGUGGGGAAUUUUGGACAAUGGGCGCAAGCCUGAUCCAGCAAUGCCGCGUGUGUGAAGAAGGCCUUCGGGUUGUAAAGCACUUUUGUCCGGAAAGAAAUCCUCUGGGUUAAUACCUCGGGGGGAUGACGGUACCGGAAGAAUAAGCACCGGCUAACUACGUGCCAGCAGCCGCGGUAAUACGUAGGGUGCGAGCGUUAAUCGGAAUUACUGGGCGUAAAGCGUGCGCAGGCGGUUUUGUAAGACGGAUGUGAAAUCCCCGGGCUUAACCUGGGAACUGCAUUCGUGACUGCAAGGCUAGAGUAUGGCAGAGGGGGGUAGAAUUCCACGUGUAGCAGUGAAAUGCGUAGAGAUGUGGAGGAAUACCGAUGGCGAAGGCAGCCCCCUGGGCCAUACUGACGCUCAUGCACGAAAGCGUGGGGAGCAACAGGAUAGAUACCUGGUAGUCACGCCCUAACGAUGUCACUAGUGUUGGGAUC